This 403-nucleotide ribosomal RNA is filed under the name Verrucomicrobiota bacterium. RNAcentral describes it as "Verrucomicrobia bacterium partial 16S ribosomal RNA". It matches the Rfam family "Bacterial small subunit ribosomal RNA", at positions 355 to 776 of the family's 1533-position model. The record is from RNAcentral. Lineage: Bacteria; Pseudomonadati; Verrucomicrobiota.
UGGGGAAUAUUGCACAAUGGGGGAAACCCUGAUGCAGCGACGCCGCGUGAGCGAAGAAGGUUUUCGAAUCGUAAAGCUCUGUCCUAUGAGAAGAUAAUGACGGUAUCAUAGGAGGAAGCCCCGGCUAAAUACGUGCCAGCAGCCGCGGUAAUACGUAUGGGGCGAGCGUUGUCCGGAAUUAUUGGGCGUAAAGGGUACGUAGGCGGUCUAUUAAGUCAGGUGUGAAAGCGUGAGGCUUAACCUCAUUAAGCACUUGAAACUGAUAGACUUGAGUGAAGGAGAGGAAAGUGGAAUUCCUAGUGUAGCGGUGAAAUGCGUAGAUAUUAGGAGGAAUACCGGUGGCGAAGGCGACUUUCUGGACUUCAACUGACGCUGAGGAACGAAAGCGUGGGUAGCAAACAGG